Molecule: ribosomal RNA, 409 nt
Filed under: uncultured bacterium
Lineage: Bacteria
Description: bacterial SSU rRNA
Rfam family: Bacterial small subunit ribosomal RNA
Source: RNAcentral
AUGGGGGCAACCCUGAUCCAGCCAUGCCGCGUGAAUGAAGAAGGCCUUCGGGUUGUAAAGCUCUUUCGGCCGGGAAGAAAUCGCAUGGGUGAAUACCCUGUGUGGAGGACGGUACCGGAACAAGAAGCACCGGCUAACUACGUGCCAGCAGCCGCGGUAAUACGUAGGGUGCAAGCGUUAUCCGGAAUCACUGGGUUUAAAGGGUGCGUAGGCGGCAUGAUAAGUCAGAGGUGAAAGCUUGCGGCUCAACCGUAAAAUUGCCUUUGAUACUGUUAUGCUUGAAUCAGGUUGAGGUAGGCAGAAUGUGGCAUGUAGCGGUGAAAUGCAUAGAUAUGCCAUAGAAUACCAAUUGCGAAGGCAGCCUGCUGGACCUGUAUUGACGCUGAGGCACGAAAGCGUGGGGAUCGAA